This is a non-coding RNA of Cricetulus griseus (Chinese hamster), 783 nucleotides long. The record is from RefSeq and is a predicted model, not a curated record. NCBI's taxonomy places the organism in Eukaryota, Metazoa, Chordata, Mammalia, Rodentia, Cricetidae.
UUGGGUCAUUCUCUCUCAUCUCUUGUCCCCAUUCCCCUCCCUGGACUUCUUGCUCUAGGUUGCUGUCGUGCAGGUCGGGACAACUACAACUGGCACCCGGAAUCUGGGGCUUGACUGUUCCAGGAGAGGAGAAUUUCUGUGUUCAUUAGCGGUACCAGCCCAUCCAUGCAUUGAGGUGCCGUCAACAUGGUUGAUUGUUGGCCUCGAGGGGAAGACACCCAGCAGCCUUACCCAGCGCUCGGGAUCUUCGGGUUCAUGAACACCACCUGAGGCAGCGGGAAACAAUAAAACAAGAUGACUCCUGGACUGUUUGGAGAUAUGCAUGGAGAAGAGGAAAACAGGCAUGCUGAGAUAAAAUAGCCACCCGUCUCCUCCUCCUGAAAACCCCACCUCCAAACUCACCCUUAGUGGGCUCAUGGAUUCUGGACUCUGUGUGAAACUCCCCACUUUUAAUUCCCUUAACCCCUUCUUAUCUCUGCAACCUUACCCUGUUCCCUGCUGGUUCCUCCCAGCAAUGCCUGGUGGGCCUGCCUCCAUGGCCUCACUCCCUGCCUUUCCAACUAUAUCUUUGAGGAGGUGGCAUUCUGCAUUCUUGUGCAGGCCUGACAAAUUCUUUCACUUCUGGGAAAAAUCCCAAGGGACCUCCGCCCUUUCCCAUCCUCACAGACGCCAGGAACCUAUAUCAGCCGUUACAAUUGCAGUCCUCCUCGGCUGGGGAGCUGUAGGAGCAGCUACAACUUCAAGGACAAUAUUGAAGAGUAUGGAGAGAGUGGACAGCCUUGU